UUCUGGAGGGUUUAUAUGGGGAGGAAGAGGGGUAGGGCUGAACAUUGUUUCCUCAUGUGUGUGCAGGGCUAGGAGGGAGGAAUUUGGCAGAAGUCCCUCUGGAAGAUAUUGUAGUAUCUGCAGGCGUUCAUCAAACACAUCCUUCUCCCCACUGCUUCCUUUUAGGAGGGAAUUACGGACUGUGAAUCUCAAUUUGAGAGCAAUACAAUGGGUAUUUAUUCUUUUGAAUGAGGAAAGUUGCUAUUAGCCCCUUGACAUGAAAAUACUUCUGGUGAUACAAGGCUUGCGUCCUUGCUUCUGUGCUUUUGUUUGAUCAGAUGGAAGAGUGCUACCAGAGGUACGCACAUGCAGGGAAGGGCAGCUAACAGCACACAGAUUGCCUGUACCCAAGGUGGGUAAACUUUCUCCUCUUUCAUGGGGAAGCCUUCCUAUGGAGACAAAAAAGCAAGAGAAAGAAAUAACUGGUAUGGAAAGUCUGUGAGACAUUUCUCUUCAACACGUCUCAGCAUUACACACACCUAUAACAAAUAUGAAGCACAUAGUGUGUGGGACACCUCAAGAAUAGACACAUUUUAGUAUAUGUAACCUCUUUGCAUACUGGAGCCUUCUCAUUCUGAGCACUACAUCACUGCAGGCUGCAUUCCAUAGACAUACACAACUCCAAUUACUUCAAAGAAAGCAAUGACUAGAAGAGGCACUGAGCCUGCAUAUCUGUCAAAAAUGUCAAUCCAGUAACUCCCUGAACCCAGUGUAAAACAGAGAGCAAUGAGGAAGCUAAUUAGACAUAUUAUACCUGAAGAAAAAAAGAUAUCUUUGUUACUGGAGUAUUGAACUUGGAUUACCUGUUGGAAGCAGUUAUGGUACCUGAUCAAGAAAUUCUUGAAGGUCACAGCUCUUCAGUUUGAGUCCAGCAAUUUUUUCUGGAUGUGAUGAAUUCAGGAAACUAAUCCAGGAGUCUUGCAGGACAACUUGUGUGUCUUCUGUGUCUACCUGAUCCUGGUACAUGACUGAGAACAUUUGCAGGAGUGAGAGUAUCUUCAGAAGAAAAAAUGUGCUGAUGCCAGAAACAUGCAGAUGAAGAUAUACAACCAGAAUGUCAAUGAAUGAACACAGGAGUAAUGAGGAAAGGAAGCAUAAUUGCUACCUCAUGGGUGAUUUUCAAGAACAGUGAGGUGCCACAGUUACCAGAAGGUGGACGUGGCAGGUGUCAGAAACUACAAUUUGUGCUGCACUGCAAAGUAGGAAAAAAGUUGGAAAAUACUGCCUCCACAUCAGGCAUAGGUGUGUAGGAAGUGUGUGCUGGAUGAGAGCUCAUUUGCGAUUCCUUGAGCUGGGACCCAAAGAGACGUACCAACCCCUCCAAGCAUCUCCUUUGGGCCAGAGGCAGCACAUGCUGUUGGUUACCUGUGGGAAGGGACCAGUCCUGCCAGCAGCCUAUUUCCUGCUAAACUGUGUGCAAUUCCUUGUUUCCCACACCUUCCCUCAGAAAGGACAUGGGUUUGGGCCUCCCUUCUUUUGCACAGAUACUGAUUUUUAUGAGACCAGGAGAAGUUCCAUCAGUAUGUUUAUACCACCUGCCCAAAUGUCCAAUCAAAUUGAAAUGGUGUAAUAGAUUGAAGUUUGUUGCCAUGACCAACAACCACUGUGACCACGAAGCCUCUUUUCUCCAGGGAAACAACGACAGAAGUCCUGCCUCAGCCACCUCCCAGUCCUCCUACCAACGUGUACUGAUUCUAUGCUCCUCAUUGCUUUGUCAAUAAACCUGUGCCUUGUUCUACCAUUUCUACUUUGCCUCCAAAUCUCAUAUCUGAGUCUGCUCAGCUCUGCUCUUCCAGCUCUGGAAACUUUCUCCUCUUCCUCCAGGAUGACAGGGAGAGCAGCCUCACCAUCCCCAUCCGAGAGAGCAGAACAGAGUAGCUCUGCUCUCUGCUCAGUCUUCAGCCCUGAGAGGGAGGUUGGGGAAUGCAGAAGGAUUUGCCGUCUCCACCUGGAGUGGCGCCAGGAUUCUGCAAUCACUGGUUAUUUAGAAAGGCUGGGCAGAUAAAUCUAAUCACUUAGGCUAGUGUUGUAUUGCAGUAACUUCACUACCUAUUGCUAGGAGCUG
Long non-coding RNA from Corapipo altera (White-ruffed manakin), 2104 nucleotides. RefSeq lists it as uncharacterized. The record is from RefSeq and is a predicted model, not a curated record. Lineage: Eukaryota; Metazoa; Chordata; Aves; Passeriformes; Pipridae. The transcript is spliced from 10 exons.